ACCCAGACAGCUUAUCUCCAAAAAGCUGAGCCUAGGUCGCUUCAAAGGUCCUAUCCAGUAUACCAUCUGGAGGGAAAUGCAGUCCAUUCUCUCUCCAGGCCCAUCUCAACUAACUCUGGAUCCUAAAACAGCUCAUCCAAAUCUGGUGCUAUCCAAUAGCCGGACCAGUGUGUGCCACGGUGAUGUUAAACAGGUAAUGCCUGAUGACCCAGAGAGGUUUGAUUCAAGUGUGGCUGUGCUAGGCUCAAAAGGCUUCACCUCUGGGAAAUGGUACUGGGAAAU
This 282-nucleotide long non-coding RNA is filed under the name Rattus norvegicus (Norway rat). RNAcentral describes it as "long non-coding RNA NONRATT018532". The record is from RNAcentral. Lineage: Eukaryota; Metazoa; Chordata; Mammalia; Rodentia; Muridae.